AGUGAACGCUGGCGGUAGGCCUAACACAUGCAAGUCGAACGGCAGCACAGUAAGAGCUUGCUCUUACGGGUGGCGAGUGGCGGACGGGUGAGGAAUACAUCGGAAUCUACUUUUUCGUGGGGGAUAACGUAGGGAAACUUACGCUAAUACCGCAUACGACCUACGGGUGAAAGCAGGGGAUCUUCGGACCUUGCGCGAUUGAAUGAGCCGAUGUCGGAUUAGCUGGUUGGCGGGGUAAAGGCCCACCAAGGCGACGAUCCGUAGCUGGUCUGAGAGGAUGAUCGGCCACACUGGAACUGAGACACGGUCCAGACUCCUACGGGAGGCAGCAGUGGGGAAUAUUGGGCAAUGGGCGCAAGCCUGAUCCAGCCAUACCGCGUGGGUGAAGAAGGCCUUCGGGUUGUAAAGCCCUUUUGUUGGGAAAGAAAAGCAGCAGGUUAAUACCCCGCUGUUCUGACGGUACCCAAAGAAUAAGCACCGGCUAACUUCGUG
Molecule: ribosomal RNA, 492 nt
Filed under: uncultured bacterium
Lineage: Bacteria
Description: partial 16S ribosomal RNA
Rfam family: Bacterial small subunit ribosomal RNA
Source: RNAcentral